Artibeus jamaicensis (Jamaican fruit-eating bat) is the source of this 133-nucleotide small nuclear RNA. RefSeq annotates it as U11 spliceosomal RNA. Lineage: Eukaryota; Metazoa; Chordata; Mammalia; Chiroptera; Phyllostomidae. The transcript has a single exon. The record is from RefSeq and is a predicted model, not a curated record.
CAAAAGGGCUCUGUUGUGAGUGGCACACGCAGGGCAGCCCGACUGCUCUACGUGCAGAAUGGGCUUCAAGAGAUUUUGGAAGCAUAAUUUUUUGGUACCUGGGCAGCUAGUGAUCAUUGGUCCUGGUACCUGU